UAUCCAUGAGCAGGUUGAAGCUGGUGUAAGAGCCAGUGGAGGACCGAACCCGCUGGCGUUGAAAAGUCUUGGGAUGACUUGUGGAUAGGGGUGAAAGGCCAAUCAAACUCAGUGAUAGCUGGUUCUCUCCGAAAUAUAUUUAGGUAUAGCCUCGAGCAGUAGCAUGAAGGGGUAGAGCACUGACAGGGCUAGGGCUGCUUACCGCGGUACCAAACCCUAUCAAACUCCGAAUACUUCAUGUGUAACCUCGGGAGUCAGGCGGUGGGUGAUAAAAUCAAUCGUCAAGAGGGGAACAACCCAGACUAGCAGCUAAGGUCCCAAAGUCUUGUCUAAGUGGAAAAGGAUGUGAAGUUGCUGUGACAACCAGGAGGUUGGCUUAGAAGCAGCCACCCUUUAAAGAAAGCGUAACAGCUCACUGGUCUAGCGAUUUUGCGCCGAAAAUAUAACGGGGCUAAGACAAGCACCGAAGCUCUAGGUUGUAGUACAUCAUUAAGUUCUCAGAGAAGAGAUAUUCAAAGAGUUAUAUUUAAAACUUUACGGAGUGAAGUUUUAAAAUGCCUCAGGGGAUAAGAAGAGAUACUUAGGAUUUAAUGAUGUACUACAGCGGUAGGAGAGCGUUCCAGUCAGCGUAGAAGCCAUACCGGCAAGGAGUGGUGGAGCGGCUGGAAGUGAGCAUGCAGGCAUGAGUAGCGAGAAAAGAAGUGAGAAUCUUCUUCGCCGUAAACCCAAGGUUUCCUACGCGAUGCUCGUCAUCGUAGGGUUAGUCGGGACCUAAGUCGAGUCCGAGAGGGGUAGACGAUGGCAAAUCGGUUAAUAUUCCGAUACCGACUGUUGUUCGCUUGAGUGAUGGGGGGACGCAUAGAGUUAAUUGAGCUCACUGAUGGAAUAGUGGGUCGAAGGAUGUAGGUUGUAAGGUAGGCAAAUCCGCCUUACAUUAGACCGAGAUCUUACAGGCAGAGCAAUCUCUUCGGAGAGCGCUUUGAAUCAAUGAUACUGUCGUGCCGAGAAAAGCCUCUAAACGAGAACAGCAGUUGCCCGUACCGUAAACCGACACAGGUGGGUGAGAUGAGUAUUCUAAGGCGCGUGGAAGAACCCUGGUUAAGGAACUCUGCAAACUAGCACCGUAUCUUCGGUAUAAGGUGUGCCCUAUUUGUAAGUGGACUUGCUCCACGAAGCAUUGACGGGUCGCAGCAAAGUGUCCCUCCCGACUGUUUACCAAAAACACAGCACUCUGCUAACUCGUAAGAGGAUGUAUAGGGUGUGACGCCUGCCCGGUGCUUGAAUGUUAAAUGGAUUUGUUAGCUCUGCGAAGCAUUGAAAUGAAGCACAAGUAAACGGCGGCCGUAACUAUAACGGUCCUAAGGUAGCGAAAUUCCUUGUCGGUUAAAUACCGACCUGCAUGAAUGGCGUAACGAGAUGGGAGCUGUCUCAACCAGGGAUCCAGUGAAAUUGUAGUGGAGGUGAAAAUUCCUCCUACCCGCGGAAAGACGGAAAGACCCCGUGCACCUUUACUAUAGCUUGACAUUGCUAUUGGGAUAUUCAUGUGCAGGAUAGGUGGGAGCCGUUGAAUCUAUGACGCCAGUUGUAGAUGAGGCAUCCUUGAGAUACCACCCUUGAAUAUUCUGAUAGCUAACUGCGUACGAUUAUCUCGUAUCAGGACAAUGUCUGGUGGGUAGUUUGACUGGGGCGGUCGCCUCCUAAAAAGUAACGGAGGCUUACAAAGGUUAGUUCAUGGCGGAUGGAAAUCGCCAGUUGAGUAUAAUGGCAUAAACUAGCUUGACUGUGAGACAUACAAGUCGAACAGAGACGAAAGUCGGUCAUAGUGAUCCGGUGGUUCUGCGUGGAAGGGCCAUCGCUCAAAGGAUAAAAGGUACGCCGGGGAUAACAGGCUGAUCUCCCCCAAGAGCUCACAUCGACGGGGAGGUUUGGCACCUCGAUGUCGGCUCAUCGCAUCCUGGGGCUGGAGCAGGUCCCAAGGGUAUGGCUGUUCGCCAUUUAAAGCGGUACGCGAGCUGGGUUCAGAACGUCGUGAGACAGUUCGGUCCCUAUCUUCCGUGGGCGUAGGAGAGUUGAGGAGAGCUGACCCUAGUACGAGAGGACCGGGUUGGACGUGCCACUGGUGCACCAGUUGUUCUGCCAAGAGCAUCGCUGGGUAGCUACGCACGGAUGAGAUAACCGCUGAAAGCAUCUAAGCGGGAAGCCAACUCCAAGAUGAACUCUCCCUGAAGUACGCUUGAAGACUACAAGCUUGAUAGGCUGGAUGUGUACGCAGAGUAAUCUGUUUAGCUGACCAGUACUAAUAGUACGUUUGUCUUUUUUAC
RNAcentral lists this ribosomal RNA (2321 nucleotides) under sediment metagenome. RNAcentral's name for it is "bacterial LSU rRNA". It matches the Rfam family "Bacterial large subunit ribosomal RNA", at positions 731 to 2925 of the family's 2925-position model. The record is from RNAcentral.